RNAcentral lists this ribosomal RNA (484 nucleotides) under uncultured bacterium. Its description in RNAcentral is "bacterial SSU rRNA". It matches the Rfam family "Bacterial small subunit ribosomal RNA", at positions 28 to 521 of the family's 1533-position model. The record is from RNAcentral.
GAUGAACGCUAGCGGCAGGCCUAAUACAUGCAAGUCGAACGGUGUAGCAAUACACAGUGGCGCACGGGUGCGUAACACGUAUGCAACCUACCUUACAUUGGGGGGAUAGCCUUUCGAAAGGGAGAUUAAUACCGCAUAAGACAGUAACUAGGCAUCUAGUAGCUGUUAAAGAUUUAUCGAUGUAAGCUGGGCAUGCGUCCAAUUAGUUAGUUGGCGAGGUAAUGGCUCACCAAGACGAUGAUUGGUAGGGGAACUGAGAGGUCAAUCCCCCACACUGGCACUGAGAUACGGGCCAGACUCCUACGGGAGGCAGCAGUAGGGAAUAUUGGGCAAUGGGCGCAAGCCUGACCCAGCCAUGCCGCGUGCAGGAAGAAGGCGUUAUGCGUUGUAAACUGCUUUUAUACAGGAAGAAACGACCCUUGCGAGGGGCAUUGACGGUACUGUAUGAAUAAGCACCGGCUAACUCCGUGCCAGCAGCCGCGGU